Molecule: non-coding RNA, 72 nt
Organism: Phrynosoma platyrhinos (Desert horned lizard)
Lineage: Eukaryota; Metazoa; Chordata; Lepidosauria; Squamata; Phrynosomatidae
Source: the annotation of a GenBank genome assembly
GCCAGUGUGGUAUAAUGGUUUGAACAUUGGAUUUCCACUCUAGAGAUCAGGGUUCAACUCCCCACUCAGCCU